CAGUGGCGGGGGCGGGGGCGGGGGGCGGUCAGGAGGGGUGGGUAGGGGUGAAGGGGUGGGGUCGUCCCUUUUUCAGGGUGCUCCGACCAGGCCGACCUGAAGCCUGAGGAACCCGGCUGCAAGAUCUAGACUCUCCUUUGCGUGGUCCUGGGCAAGCCCCUACUCCCAGCUGGGUCAAUUUCUUGUCUGAAACAUCACUGAGGUUCUAAGAAGACAGGAUCUAGAAGUUUCUGCCAUUCAGCCUGGGGAUUUUAGAUGCAUUGUAGCCUGGGAGGUGGAGUGCUGUCUGUGCUCUAUUGCCUGCCUCACUGAAUAGAUGGAGAGAGCCAGCCUCCACAUGGGUCUCUGCGAGUUGGGGGCAAAGGAAGACACGGCCACUGAGGCCCAGAGAAGACACUUGUUCAAGGCCGCACCACGGGAACUAGAACCCAGAUCUUGAUCUACCCUCGCUCUCCCCGGCUGAACCCCCAGAGCAUCUCUGGGCCUUAGGGUGGGGGGAGCCCCCAUACUCACACAAGCCAUGAUUGAAGAGAGGAGGAUGUUCCUGGAACUUCGGCACCAGCUGUCCGAAGACUCUGCAGGAGAAAUGGGUUUCGGGCCGCUCCCACCCUUUUAACGGGACCAGACCCCGUUCCCUGACCAAGGAUUGAACCCGUGCCAACUGCAGUGAACGGGCAGAGUCUUAACCACUGGACUGCCAGGGAAGUUCCAGAAGCACUGAAGAGCUAAGAAGAUGUGGACCAGGGGUGACUCACAUCUGGAGGCCCUGCCCUGAGCUCGCUGCCUCCCCAGCCCCCAUCUUCCUCCAGAGACUGAGGCCCACGCUGGCACAGGAGGAGAGGGGAGGGCAAGGGGCUGAGAGGCAGGCCCAGAGAGGUUGGGUGGCACCCCCUGUGAGCCCCUCACCCCUCCUCCUAGACCAAGCCAGCUGCCUCAGAAACCAACCACUUUUGUGCUUCACUUUUUCCUCCAGGGCCUCCUUCCAAACCUCUGAAUUCGGGAGGGGUGGAUGGUGCCCAGCUCCACUGCUCCCCCUCUGAGGCCCACAGACACCCUCUGUGCCUGGACAAGGAAUGAGGGUAUUUCAGGAGGAGCCCUGGACCAAAGCCAGAGAUGCUUCAGAUGCAGGCCCUGCUGUGACAGCCAUCAGGAAUCCCCAAGCUACACAGUUUGGAGAGCUUCUAGGUUGGUGAACAUGCCCACAUGUUGGGAGGGUCACACACCCUAACCACACCGGGACAGCAGCUCUUCUCUUGGUGCCCUCCAGGACCUUGCCCUGUGUGUCUUCAUCUCACUGUUCACCGGUAU
This is a long non-coding RNA of Dama dama (fallow deer), 1308 nucleotides long. RefSeq lists it as uncharacterized. Lineage: Eukaryota; Metazoa; Chordata; Mammalia; Artiodactyla; Cervidae. The transcript has 5 exons. The record is from RefSeq and is a predicted model, not a curated record.